UACAGAGGGUGCAAGCGUUAAUCGGAAUCACUGGGCGUAAAGCGCACGUAGGCGGCUUUCUAAGUCAGGGGUGAAAUCCUGGAGCUCAACUCCAGAACUGCCUUUGAUACUGGAGAGCUUGAGUCCGGAAGAGGUGAGUGGAACUCCGAGUGUAGAGGUGAAAUUCGUAGAUAUUCGGAAGAACACCAGUGGCGAAGGCGGCAUUCUGGACUGCAACUGACACUGAGGAACGAAAGCCAGGGGAGCAAACGGG
RNAcentral lists this ribosomal RNA (253 nucleotides) under uncultured bacterium. RNAcentral's name for it is "partial 16S ribosomal RNA". It matches the Rfam family "Bacterial small subunit ribosomal RNA", at positions 524 to 776 of the family's 1533-position model. The record is from RNAcentral.